CUCUGAAUCCAAUAUCCUGGACCCACCUGUUCAGCUCUCAAACUCCUCAUCCUAGUUGACCAAGAACUUGUGAAAAAAAAAAAUGGAGAAGGAAUAUCCUGAAUCAUUUACCUAGAACUUGGACAGGGUGUAAACAGGUCAAAGGCAAAGUAACUUCUAAGAAAUCAGAAAGAUGUGGGAGUACCGGAAUGAUGUCCUGCAAGGCCGUGAUGUUGACAGAUGCCAAGACUGGUUUGAUGGUGAGUGGAGAAUGGGAUCACCAAUGAAAAUUUACAUUAAAUACUGUAAGUUGACUUCUGUUCAUCUGUUACAUCUCAGAUCAUAUGUCACUUUUUCAACUAAGCUUUCCUUGACCUCCAAGAUCAAGUGAUGCAAUCCAUUCUCAUUCCACCUGACCUCAUUUUGCUGUUCCCUUCCUGGUAUUCAAUUCCCAGCAGAGGACCUCUUUCUGCACUGAUGCAUGGUUUGAAGAAUCAUGGUGGGAAAUCCUUCAGCCUGAAGAAAGGCAGGGAAAUUUGAGCAACACCCACCCAGAAGGCUUUUCUCCCCACCUUGGGAUGUCAGCAGGUUGGAAGGAAACCAAGGAUAUUAUUAGCCUCUGAAGUUGAGUGGAGGGUUAUCUGAUCCUCGAAGCCAGUGGUCUUUAACCUGAAGCAUCUAUAUCUCUGAAGAUUUAUAAAUAUUUUCCCAAAAGAUACAUAAACAAAUUUGGUUUUGGAUCAACUACCAUAUGAAUUCUUCUAAUAUUUUUUAACUGAGAAGUCUCCUGGAAUUUCUCCUUUUUAUGUCAUAGUCUCCUGUUUUCCAUAAAAAAUGAAAAAAAAAAAAAACUUUUGCCCACUGAGAAUCUUAUUAUGGUGCAUUGCACUCACAUGAAAAACUUCCAGGGCACCAAAUAAAAGGAUAAUCAAAACAUUAAAAAUAUUUUAUU
Lutra lutra (Eurasian river otter) is the source of this 931-nucleotide long non-coding RNA. RefSeq lists it as uncharacterized. The transcript is spliced from 3 exons. The record is from RefSeq and is a predicted model, not a curated record. NCBI's taxonomy places the organism in Eukaryota, Metazoa, Chordata, Mammalia, Carnivora, Mustelidae.